CCUACGGGUGGCAGCAGUGAGGAAUAUUGGUCAAUGGACGCAAGUCUGAACCAGCCAUGCCGCGUGCAGGAUGACGGCUCUAUGAGUUGUAAACUGCUUUUGUACGAGGGUAAACCCCGAUACGUGUAUCGGGUUGAAAGUAUCGUACGAAUAAGGAUCGGCUAACUCCGUGCCAGCAGCCGCGGUAAUACGGAGGAUCCGAGCGUUAUCCGGAUUUUUUGGGUUUAAAGGGUGCGUAGGCGGGUUGUUAAGUUAGAGGUGAAAUGACGGGGCUCAACCCCGAAACUGCCUCUAAUACUGUUAGACUAGAGAAUAGUUGCGGUAGGCGGAAUGUAUGGUGUAGCGGUGAAAUGCUUAGAGAUCAUACAGAACACCGAUUGCGAAGGCAGCUUACCAAACUAUAUCUGACGUUGAGGCACGAAAGCGUGGGUAGCAAACAGGAUUAGAUACCCCUGUAGUC
Molecule: ribosomal RNA, 460 nt
Filed under: uncultured bacterium
Lineage: Bacteria
Description: partial 16S ribosomal RNA
Rfam family: Bacterial small subunit ribosomal RNA
Source: RNAcentral